UGGAGGAUGUGGUGGGGAGAGAAUGGCACACAGAGGCAAGGAGGAGCAUGUAGCUAGGCUUGAUUAGAGCUGGAGUGCUACCUCAUGUGGAGUCCUCUGAGGGUAUGCAUGUCACGUUCUCAGUGACGCGCCUCCACAUGGCUGUGUCAAGCCAACGUGCUGGGGUGAGUGUUACAAUGGUUGAUUGGCUUUUCUUCUCUUUAUGCCCCAGCUCAAACACCUAGUUUUGAUACUGUGGACUACCUAUCUCUGACUGGCUAUUAGACUGUGAAGAUAUAAGAGAGGGUGUUGAACGGAGAGUCUGUCUUUGAUCUGGCACCCAUCCACACAAAAUAAGUCAUCUUCUUUGGAACAAACUGUAUACUUUCACAAUGUAAAACACCUUAUAGCAGAGCAUGUUUGCAUUACAAUGGAACAAGCAAUUAUUUUAAAGAGAUUCUCAGCUACUUUUGUAUACUUUUUAGCCAGUAGUUCUGAAAGUAGCACUCACAAGCCAAAAGUGGUCCCUGGAAAUUGAGUACUACGUCACAUAUGUGCAGAUUUGUGUACCACGUCAUUGCUCUCUUUUUUGCUCUCUCUCUCUAUGCUGUGUCCACAUGAGCUGUUGGGCCCGCCUUGCAACCUCAUUGGAUAACGCCGGGCAGGUCUCUUGCUAGCUGUCACUGAAAUGCAAGGGGCUGAAUCUCAUUGGCUAGAACACUAAUUACUAGGGGUCUGGGCCACAUGGGAGGAAAUGAAGGCAAAAUUGCACGGCACAGCUUCAAGAAAAGUCGCUUUCAAAUUAAGGAUUUUGUGGCUGAUUGAGGUAAACAUUCAACCUUUAGAUGAAGAGGACACCACUAAACUGAAGACAAGCUCCAGCCCCACCUGUACUGGCUGGUCAUUGCAGUUUUCAUCCCCAGGCUCCAGUGGCCAGCAGGGCCAGUACACCUGAGAUCAAUGCAAGAGAUAUUCCUCACCUCUUUCUUUGGACAAACUUGUUUGCUUUGCUCCUUGUAGAAAUCUGAGCAUGACAGCCAUCUGAUAGCCAUAGUGUAUCCAGUGUUUCUUUGCCGGUCUCACAUGUUUGGAAUGUGGUAAUCCUUCUGCAGGAGUUAAAUGGAUAGUAUUCCUCACCCUUUGACUAUUACACAGCACAUCAAAUAGUGGAUAGACCUUGGGUUGACUCUACAAAGCCCUGUUAGUUGUGUUCAUUAGACUGUUUGACAUGUCCCAGUAUCAUAGCAAAUAAAAACUGCUCUCUCCAUCAUUAACAUGGCUUUGAUCUCUGCCAAGAAAACAAACCUCUGCCAAAAAUUCUGUUCUGUUGAAUAGGACUUUCUCAUGCAACUUCCCCUUGCAAUCCUGUUAUAGUGUGUAGCCCUUUUUCUAUUACAAAAUGAAUCAAAGAUAUGAAUUCAGUGUUUUGAACAGAUGUCAAAUAAAAAGGGUGUCAACUGAGGACUACAACUGGAUUUUAUAACCUUUCCUAAUAUUUGCAAAGAUGAUCUUUAUCCUGAAUAAACCUAAUGCAAUCACAA
Molecule: long non-coding RNA, 1520 nt
Organism: Salmo salar (Atlantic salmon)
Lineage: Eukaryota; Metazoa; Chordata; Actinopteri; Salmoniformes; Salmonidae
Source: RefSeq, a predicted model, not a curated record